UACGGAGGGUGCAAGCGUUAAUCGGAAUUACUGGGCGUAAAGCGCACGCAGGUGGCUGAGUCAGUCGAUUGUGAAAGCCCUGGGCUUAACCUGGGAAUUGCAGUCGAUACUACUCAGCUAGAGUAUGGGAGAGGGUAGUGGAAUUCCCGGUGUAGCGGUGAAAUGCGUAGAUAUCGGGAGGAACAUCAGUGGCGAAGGCGGCCUUCUGGACGGUGACUGACGCUGAGACGCGAAAGCGUGGGUAGCAAACAGG
Molecule: ribosomal RNA, 253 nt
Filed under: uncultured bacterium
Lineage: Bacteria
Description: partial 16S ribosomal RNA
Rfam family: Bacterial small subunit ribosomal RNA
Source: RNAcentral